UACGUAGGGUGCAAGCGUUGUCCGGAAUUAUUGGGCGUAAAGGGCUUGUAGGCGGUUUGUCGCGUCUGCUGUGAAAUUUCGGGGCUCAACCCCGAACUUGCAGUGGGUACGGGCAGACUAGAGUGUGGUAGGGGAGACUGGAAUUCCUGGUGUAGCGGUGAAAUGCGCAGAUAUCAGGAGGAACACCGAUGGCGAAGGCAGGUCUCUGGGCCACUACUGACGCUGAGAAGCGAAAGCAUGGGGAGCGAACAGG
RNAcentral lists this ribosomal RNA (253 nucleotides) under uncultured bacterium. RNAcentral describes it as "partial 16S ribosomal RNA". It matches the Rfam family "Bacterial small subunit ribosomal RNA", at positions 524 to 776 of the family's 1533-position model. The record is from RNAcentral.